Molecule: ribosomal RNA, 468 nt
Filed under: uncultured bacterium
Lineage: Bacteria
Description: partial 16S ribosomal RNA
Rfam family: Bacterial small subunit ribosomal RNA
Source: RNAcentral
GACGAACGCUGGCGGCGUGCUUAACACAUGCAAGUCGAACGGAAAGGCCCUGCUUUUGUGGGGUGCUCGAGUGGCGAACGGGUGAGUAACACGUGAGUAACCUGCCCUUGACUUUGGGAUAACUUCAGGAAACUGGGGCUAAUACCGGAUAGGAGCUCCUGCUGCAUGGUGGGGGUUGGAAAGUUUCGGCUGUUGGGGAUGGACUCGCGGCUUAUCAGCUUGUUGGUGUGGUAGUGGCUUACCAAGGCUUUGACGGGUAGCCGGCCUGAGCGGGUGAACGGCGACAAGGGGACUGAGAGACGGCGCAGACGGCUACGGGAGGCAGUAGUGGGGAGUAUUGCACAAUGGGGGGAAGCCUGAGGCAGCAACGCCGCGUGCGGGAUGACGGCCUUCGGGUUGUAAACCGCUUUCGCAUGUGACGAAGCGUGAGUGACGGUAAUGGGUAAAGAAGCACCGGCUAACUACGUG